This 177-nucleotide ribosomal RNA is filed under the name Candidatus Woesebacteria bacterium. RNAcentral's name for it is "partial 23S ribosomal RNA". It matches the Rfam family "Bacterial large subunit ribosomal RNA", at positions 2737 to 2925 of the family's 2925-position model. The record is from RNAcentral. Lineage: Bacteria; Candidatus Woeseibacteriota.
AUUGCAGGGUAGCUACAUUGUUGUUGGAUAAUCGCUGAAAGCAUCUAAGCGAGAAGCCACGCCCAAGAUAAAACUUCUCCAUUAGACCACUCGGAGACUACGAGUUUGAUAGGCCGUCGGUGCAAGUCCAGUGAUGGAUUGAGCCUAACGGUACUAAGUGUCGAUUGAACAUACUUU